This 571-nucleotide ribosomal RNA is filed under the name Exophiala sp. RNAcentral's name for it is "eukaryotic LSU rRNA". It matches the Rfam family "Eukaryotic large subunit ribosomal RNA", at positions 75 to 658 of the family's 3401-position model. The record is from RNAcentral. Lineage: Eukaryota; Fungi; Ascomycota; Eurotiomycetes; Chaetothyriales; Herpotrichiellaceae.
AUGCCUCAGCUAACGGCGAGUGAAGCGGCAACAGCUCAAAUUUGAAAUCUGGCCUCUCGGGGUCCGAGUUGUAAUUUGUAGAGGAUGUUUCGGGUACCGCCCCGGUCUAAAUUUCUUGGAACAGAAUGUCAGAGAGGGUGAGAAUCCCGUCUUGGACCGGCGGUAGGGCCCAUGUGAAACUCCUUCGACGAGUCGAGUUGUUUGGGAAUGCAGCUCUAAAUGGGUGGUAAAUUUCAUCUAAAGCUAAAUAUUGGCCAGAGACCGAUAGCGCACAAGUAGAGUGAUCGAAAGAUGAAAAGCACUUUGAAAAGAGAGUUAAACAGUAUGUGAAAUUGUUGAAAGGGAAGCGCUGGCAAUCAGACUUGGGCGCGGCGGUUCCCCCUGCCUUCUGGCUGGGCUACUCCGCCGCGAACAGGCCAACAUCGGUUCUGGGGGCCGGUUAAAGGCUCUGGGAAUGUACCUACCCUCCGGGCGUAGACUUAUAGCCCAGAGUGUCAUGCGGCCUCCCGGGACCGAGGAACGCGCUUCGGCUCGGAUGUUGGCGUAAUGGUUGUCAGCGACCCGUCUUGAA